UGAGAGGUGUUGGUUUAUAACUAUCGUACUUGACAAUUUCCGCAAAAUGUUCUCAAAUUUUUAUCAUAAUAUCCUCAUGUGAUUUUAAGACGUGUCGCCAGGUUUAAAGAUUUUUGGAGGUUAUUUGUAAUUUAUAUAAUUAAAAUCAUUUCUCUCGCAACUUUAUCGCCAUAUUUUAUAUAUAAGACGUUUGAAUUUUUGGACGAGCUUUAAGAAAUAGUCUCAAAUUAUAAUAAGUAUUGUGACUAUCAUUUUUACAAUCAUCGUAUUUUAUGAUUGGAUGCACCUGUAGUUUAAUAUUAUAUUUUUGGAAGAAAUACAUUUUAAUCGAGAUAAAUUAAAUAUAUAUAUGAAAUAUAUAGAGAAUUGUGUUAAAUUUUAACUUAGGCUUCAAAAUAAAGUGCAAAGUAAGUAUAAAAAGUUUUAAGAGAAAAAACAAAAAAAAAAGAAAAUUCAUGGUACACCACAGUCGUAGUGGGGACCUUGGGGAGCCGGG
This 496-nucleotide long non-coding RNA is filed under the name Sorghum bicolor (sorghum). RNAcentral describes it as "long non-coding RNA (SBIC_LNC003436)". Lineage: Eukaryota; Viridiplantae; Streptophyta; Magnoliopsida; Poales; Poaceae. The record is from RNAcentral.